RNAcentral lists this ribosomal RNA (253 nucleotides) under uncultured bacterium. RNAcentral's name for it is "partial 16S ribosomal RNA". It matches the Rfam family "Bacterial small subunit ribosomal RNA", at positions 524 to 776 of the family's 1533-position model. The record is from RNAcentral.
UACAGAGGUCUCAAGCGUUGUUCGGAUGCAUUGGGCGUAAAGGGUGCGUAGGCGGCGCGGUAAGUCGGGUGUGAAAUCUCGGAGCUUAACUCCGAAACUGCAUUCGAUACUGCCGUGCUUGAGGACUGGAGAGGAGACUGGAAUUUACGGUGUAGCGGUGAAAUGCGUAGAUAUCGUAAGGAAGACCAGUGGCGAAGGCGGGUCUCUGGACAGUUCCUGACGCUGAGGCACGAAGGUCAGGGGAGCAAACGGG